GUUGUUGUUGUUGUUGUUAGAUUGCCAGCAACAACACUAUUGUUGGCAAGGGAACGUAUAUACAUUUCUGCUUCUCAUUCAAGGGAGGACCUUGUUAGGGAUCUUAAGGUAUUUCCCAUGAAAAGGUUUGAACACCUUGGCUUUUGUAUUCAAUUUAGAGUGUAAGGAUCUGAAGCAAUACCAUUGAGCCAAGCAACAACCUUUUCUGUGAAUUUAGACCUUGGCAUCUGCAGAAGAUAGUUGAUGUGUUGGAACAUAUAGUUGAGAGGUCCACUACGAAGGAAAAUGGUCGAUCAAAUGGCUCUGGCCAGUAUGAUGCUAUUAAUGAUGGCAAUUCCAGUUCAACUAAGACUUCAACAAGCUCUAAAGGCCUGACAUUUGUUGAAGACAUUUCUAAGUCCGUUUAUGUGAAACAAGCUAAGUGAAAGCCAACGUACCCUUCUUCUUACAACAGGUCCAACUAAUAGCCUGAUCAUUUAUCCUGAUCACCGUGGAUAUAUUGCUCGGUUCAUCAUGGCAUCAACAACCACACUCAGAGAUAUAAACUGUUUAAGAGCAACGAUGACGACUUGUGGGAGCUGGAGAAGCUUGAAGUGAGUGGGAGAACUCGUACACUAAUUGCUUCAAAUAUACACCUGCCAUGGAUAUAUCAUAUAUGGAGCGUUGGUAUAUGGAGAAUUGGUUGUAUAUGGAUAUAUAUAAGGAGCAUUGGUUGCAUAUAUGGAUAUAUGGAGCAUUGGUUGCAUACUUGCAUAUUGCCAUAAGCAUACUGGGAAAACUGUUGUUUCUGGGAAAAAGUGUGGUUCAUUAGUUUAGUAUGUUCAUGUUUUUGUGGCUGGAAUCCAAGAACAUAAGCUAGCUAACACCUGAUAUUGUAGGUUUGAUAGAGAUGAUACUUGUGCAAAACAAGUUGCAAGCAUCUCAAUAGAAGAUGAACGUUUUAGAAUCUUGUCUAUUACAUGAUAAUACGACUUUAUCAUGAUAUUUCUCAUUUAUCAUCUUUCUUGCAUUAACAAUA
Molecule: long non-coding RNA, 1018 nt
Organism: Spinacia oleracea (spinach)
Lineage: Eukaryota; Viridiplantae; Streptophyta; Magnoliopsida; Caryophyllales; Amaranthaceae
Exons: 5
Source: RefSeq, a predicted model, not a curated record